This 447-nucleotide ribosomal RNA is filed under the name uncultured bacterium. Its description in RNAcentral is "bacterial SSU rRNA". It matches the Rfam family "Bacterial small subunit ribosomal RNA", at positions 329 to 793 of the family's 1533-position model. The record is from RNAcentral.
UUCCAGACUCCUACGGGAGGCAGCAGUGGGGAAUAUUGCACAAUGGGGGAAACCCUGAUGCAGCGACGCCGCGUGAGCGAUGAAGUAUUUCGGUAUGUAAAGCUCUAUCAGCGGGGAAGAAAAUGACGGUACCUGACUAAGAAGCCCCGGCUAACUACGUGCCAGCAGCCGCGGUAAUACGUAGGGGGCAAGCGUUAUCCGGAUUUACUGGGUGUAAAGGGAGCGUAGACGGCAAGGCAAGUCUGGAGUGAAAGGCCGGGGCCCAACCCCGGGACCGCUCUGGAAACUGCCCGGCUGGAGUGCGGGAGAGGUAAGCGGAAUUCCUAGUGUAGCGGUGAAAUGCGUAGAUAUUAGGAGGAACACCAGUGGCGAAGGCGGCUUACUGGACUGUAACUGACGUUGAGGCUCGAAAGCGUGGGGAGCAAACAGGAUUAGAUACCCUCGUAA